ACUCAGAGAUCAUCCAGAGCUCUGAGAUAAUAAUAGAGAGCCCCUGACUAAGCCAGCCCUGAUUACAGAAUGGGCCCUACCUGAGAGAAAUUAGGUGAUUUCAGGUUUAACUACUGAGUGGGCCCAGCUGAGGAAGGGCUGAAGGAAAGAGAAUGCAGGGAGUCAAAAGGUGCCUGUAGGGUCUUGAGUGAGCACCCAGGGAGCAGAUUGGGAGACCUAGAAGGGAAGUAAAGAGGUGAGGAAGGAAAUGGUGCAGGGAAAACUGCACUAUGGGUAGAGGAUUUGACUUAGCUGUGCAGUAUAGGGCCCUGGGCUGUAACCCAGAAUUGAGGUUGGGACUGGAUUUCCCUACCAGUCCCAAGGAAGUGGCGUAUAAGGGUAGCUGAGCCCAGCGAGGGGGCUGCAGGCUGAAUGUGAUGUCGCUGAAGAAGAGCUGUGCAGAGGGUGGAAGCUUUUUAUUUCUGUUAAGAUAGUUUUGAACUUUAGUUUGGAUAGCUGACCCUGGAAGGAACGGGCUAAAGACUGUGCCCUGACUGGAGGGAUGAGUUAUCUGAAAGAAACCACCACAGUCCAGAGUGACUGUUGACAAGGGCUGCUACCCCACAAGGACACUGUCAUGCCAUGCCUGGCCAGGAGGAAGUGCAGAGUGGUAUAAAGACCAAGUCCUGGAAAGUCUUGAUAGAGGAUCUUAAACAGCAUAGUGUAGAGACCAUCCAACCAGAGAUCCCUCCAGAGCACCUGAUGGGUAUCCAAUACCAGCAUAUGUUAGUCAUGAUGCCAGUUUGCAUGGGGGCCCACAAAGCAAUGUAAACAGAUAAGUUAAUUGGAGUUCUGCUGUCAUGACAUGACAUGAAAAAUCAAGCUGGCCAGAUGCUGAUCAGUGUAUAUAACAGAAAUGGAGAAACUUUAUUAGCUUGAACAGAAUUAUUCUGAAUCAAUUCAUCUUAGGAGAGUUCUCUGUUCUUGGGGAGAGAAAAAUCUGAGAAAGGCAGUUUACUAGUGAGGGGGAAAGCCUAGGAUAUGGGAGACAUUAAUUCAUUUACCUCUCUACAGAGGAAGAAUCAGUGAGUGGCAUCUGUCCCCCUCCCCACCUUUGGGGAUUGGCUAGCUUUUCACAGUGUAAAAUCAGGAACCUGGGAGAAGGGUUUUGGUGAGAGACCAAGGAAGCUGGCACACUAGGAGGAAAAAUGCUGCCUGUUCGCUGUCGUGCUGUCUGGAGCGGCUCACAACUGUCAGUACCUACC
Molecule: long non-coding RNA, 1244 nt
Organism: Dermochelys coriacea (leatherback sea turtle)
Lineage: Eukaryota; Metazoa; Chordata; Testudines; Dermochelyidae
Exons: 4
Source: RefSeq, a predicted model, not a curated record